This 478-nucleotide ribosomal RNA is filed under the name uncultured bacterium. RNAcentral's name for it is "partial 16S ribosomal RNA". It matches the Rfam family "Bacterial small subunit ribosomal RNA", at positions 28 to 523 of the family's 1533-position model. The record is from RNAcentral.
GACGAACGCUGGUGGCGUGCUUAACACAUGCAAGUCGAACGGUAAGGCCCUUCGGGGUACACGAGUGGCGAACGGGUGAGUAACACGUGGGUGAUCUGCCCUGCACUUCGGGAUAAGCCUGGGAAACUGGGUCUAAUACCGGAUAGGACCACUGCCUGCAUGGGUGGUGGUGGAAAGCUUUUGCGGUGUGGGAUGGGCCCGCGGCCUAUCAGCUUGUUGGUGGGGUGAUGGCCUACCAAGGCGACGACGGGUAGCCGGCCUGAGAGGGUGACCGGCCACACUGGGACUGAGAUACGGCCCAGACUCCUACGGGAGGCAGCAGUGGGGAAUAUUGCACAAUGGGCGCAAGCCUGAUGCAGCGACGCCGCGUGAGGGAUGACGGCCUUCGGGUUGUAAACCUCUUUCAGCACCGACGAAGCGCAAGUGACGGUAGGUGCAGAAGAAGGACCGGCCAACUACAUGCCAGCAGCCGCAGUAA